AUUGAACGCUGGCGGCAGGCCUAACACAUGCAAGUCGAGCGAGCGGCGGACGGGUGAGUAAUGUAUUGGUAUCUGCCCGAUAGAGGGGGAUAACUACUGGAAACGGUGGCUAAUACCGCAUACUAUCGGAUGACCCCAUAUGGGAUGAGCUAGUAGGUGGGGUAAAGGCUCACCUACACGACGAUCACUAGCUGGUCUGAGAGGAUGAUCAGCCAAACGGGAACUGAGACACGGCCCAGACUCUUACGGGAGGCAGCAGUGGGGAAUAUUGCACAAUGGGGGCAAGCCUGAUGCAGCCAUGCCGCGUGUAUGAAGAAGGCCUUAGGGUUGUAAAGUACUUUCAGCGGGGAGGCGUUACCCGCAGAAGAAGCACCGGCUAACUCCGUGCCAGCCGCCGCGGUAAUAC
RNAcentral lists this ribosomal RNA (406 nucleotides) under uncultured bacterium. Its description in RNAcentral is "partial 16S ribosomal RNA". It matches the Rfam family "Bacterial small subunit ribosomal RNA", at positions 30 to 526 of the family's 1533-position model. The record is from RNAcentral.